This 747-nucleotide ribosomal RNA is filed under the name Kocuria sp. 4-1. RNAcentral describes it as "bacterial SSU rRNA". It matches the Rfam family "Bacterial small subunit ribosomal RNA", at positions 56 to 815 of the family's 1533-position model. Lineage: Bacteria; Bacillati; Actinomycetota; Actinomycetes; Micrococcales; Micrococcaceae. The record is from RNAcentral.
UGCAGUCGAACGAUGAUGCCCAGCUUGCUGGGCGGAUUAGUGGCGAACGGGUGAGUAAUACGUGAGUAACCUGCCCUUGACUCUGGGAUAAGCCUGGGAAACUGGGUCUAAUACUGGAUACUACCUCUUACCGCAUGGUGGGUGGUGGAAAGGGUUUUACUGGUUUUGGAUGGGCUCACGGCCUAUCAGCUUGUUGGUGGGGUAAUGGCUCACCAAGGCGACGACGGGUAGCCGGCCUGAGAGGGUGACCGGCCACACUGGGACUGAGACACGGCCCAGACUCCUACGGGAGGCAGCAGUGGGGAAUAUUGCACAAUGGGCGGAAGCCUGAUGCAGCGACGCCGCGUGAGGGAUGACGGCCUUCGGGUUGUAAACCUCUUUCAGUAGGGAAGAAGCGAGAGUGACGGUACCUGCAGAAGAAGCGCCGGCUAACUACGUGCCAGCAGCCGCGGUAAUACGUAGGGCGCAAGCGUUGUCCGGAAUUAUUGGGCGUAAAGAGCUCGUAGGCGGUUUGUCGCGUCUGCUGUGAAAGCCCGGGGCUCAACCCCGGGUCUGCAGUGGGUACGGGCAGACUAGAGUGCAGUAGGGGAGACUGGAAUUCCUGGUGUAGCGGUGAAAUGCGCAGAUAUCAGGAGGAACACCGAUGGCGAAGGCAGGUCUCUGGGCUGUUACUGACGCUGAGGAGCGAAAGCAUGGGGAGCGAACAGGAUUAGAUACCCUGGUAGUCCAUGCCGUAAACGUUGGGCA